Molecule: long non-coding RNA, 772 nt
Organism: Cucurbita pepo subsp. pepo (vegetable marrow)
Lineage: Eukaryota; Viridiplantae; Streptophyta; Magnoliopsida; Cucurbitales; Cucurbitaceae
Source: RefSeq, a predicted model, not a curated record
CUUCGGUGUAAAGACAAAGUUAGAAGAGAGCACAAGACACUCCAACAAAUGAUGUUGAACUGCACUAAAGAUUCCAGCACAAAGCUCACACUGCGCUUGGAUUCUCUCUUAAUGCUCAAGAUUUGGGCGAAUUGAGACAUUAACCAACCAAUAUCUCCUACUUUUGACAACCUGGUCGGGGGGCGGCACUUCCAAUAUUAAAGCUCAUGGGAGGAGAAGAGUACGAAAAACAAACAGCCGAUUUAAAAGUUUGGUAUCAAUCUGAUCUUUUCCUGAAUUGGGUCUGCUCUUCUACCAUUGGAUUGGAAAUGGUGUUAGUGGUGGGUGGUGUGCAUUAAAGGAAGUGGAUAGCAACGUCCUCCCUUCAUUGAAGUGCUUAUUGGCUGAUUUAUUAUACCAGUUAUGUUUAUUGAUGCCGAUCAUAUCCAUGUUUCCACAGUGUCGCCAUCGACCUUCAAGAGAGGAGGAAUUACAGGGUCAUUAUUUGACUUUUUAACAUUGAUUGCUAGCCAUCCAAUUUGACUUGUUCACCAUCGUGCUUGUUAUGCGAGGCAAAGCAUCUUCAUCCGGCUGCUUAAAGGCAAAGAUGCUGCUGCUGAUAAUAUAUUCCUACAAGAUGGGAUAGAGACGCCUCAUCUUAAGUAAGUUGAGAAUGUUAUUAGGUUAUUCUUAAAAUAUUUCUUCCCUUUUCACGUUUAGUUGGGUACAAAAGCAUUUGAUCUGGUUAAAUUAUGUCAUAAUUAUUGAGAAAAAUCAUGCUGGGUCCCAUUUU